This 347-nucleotide unclassified non-coding RNA is filed under the name soil metagenome. RNAcentral's name for it is "partial contains 5.8S ribosomal RNA, internal transcribed spacer 2, and large subunit ribosomal RNA". The stretch from base 1 to 120 matches the Rfam family "5.8S ribosomal RNA", at positions 35 to 154 of the family's 154-position model. The record is from RNAcentral.
GAUGAAGAACGUAGCGAAAUGCGAUAAGUAAUGUGAAUUGCAGAAUUCAGUGAAUCAUCGAGUCUUUGAACGCACAUUGCGCCCCCUGGUAUUCCGGGGGGCAUGCCUGUCCGAGCGUCAUUGCUGCCCUCAAGCACGGCUUGUGUGUUGGGCCGUCGUCCCCCUCCUAGGGGACGGGCCCGAAAGGCAGCGGCGGCACCGCGUCCGGUCCUCGAGCGUAUGGGGCUUCGUCACCCGCUCCGUAGGCCCGGCCGGCGCUUGCCGACGACCAUCAAUCUCUUUCUCCAGGUUGACCUCGGAUCAGGUAGGGAUACCCGCUGAACUUAAGCAUAUCAAUAAGCGGACGA